This 1158-nucleotide ribosomal RNA is filed under the name Triticum aestivum (bread wheat). Its description in RNAcentral is "partial small subunit ribosomal RNA". Lineage: Eukaryota; Viridiplantae; Streptophyta; Magnoliopsida; Poales; Poaceae. The record is from RNAcentral.
AUGGCCGAGGCCGCAACAGCAGAAGCCACGCCUCUCAUCCAUGGCCUCCCAGACGAGGUCGUCAUCUGGGAGAUCCUCGUCCGCCUCGAUCCUAAAUCGCUCCUCCGCUGCCGCGCCGUCCGCCGGGCCAGGCGCCGCGCCACCUCCACCCGCGGCCUCCUCCUCGCGCACCACGUGCGCCAGCCCUCCCUCCCCAUCCUCUACGGUUACAGCUGCGUCGGGAACGACGUCAUGUCCAUAUCCAUCAUCCCCUUCAACCACCAGCUCCAGCCCGUCGCGCGGCUGGGCCACGCCCUAGUCCGUCCGGAGGCCUCCUGCGACGGCCUCCUCGUUCUCUCCAUCCUCGGCACCUACUUCGCCAUCUGCAACCCCGCAACUCGUCAGUAUGCUCCCCUCCGUAUGGUUUCUGAGUUCAGCAUAUUGGGAAUGUACCCUCACCGGCCUACCGGCGAGUACAGACUGCUCAUGCACUCUUCGAAAUCCGUGAAGCAGGCCUCUGUUCUUUAUGGUCCCUGCACCAGACCGUCACCUGAAAAUCAAGUUGGCUGCUACGUCCUAUCACUCGGCUCUGGUCAGCGGCCGAGGUACAUUGAGUGUGCGGAAGCCAAGGAACUGAAAUUGAGCAACAAUUCUGUGCUAUUCCGUGGUUGCUUACAUUGGUACCCAGUGCGACAUGGAAGCGGCAGCAUCAUGAUAAUAGUGUUCGACACAACAGCCGAGUCGUUCCGGCUGAUGCGCGCUCCGGUUUUCCCUGGCGGCUGCGAUGACCUGUUUGAGAUGGAUGGCAUGCUCGGCAUGUCCAGCUCUAAUAAGGCAAAGACAAUCAUUCGUAUCUGGGUGCUGCGAGACUAUGAAAGCGAGGACUGGAUCUUAAAGUGCAAGACUGAAUUGCCGGUUAUGGAGAUCAGGGUGCCAUGGGACAGUCAGGACCAUGACAAUUUUUGGGACGUGGUGGUCGUGCCUGGGGAUGGUGGGUUGCUUGUGCUGGUCAAAUAUGCCAAGUCCCUACUUCUGGUUGACAUGGAUGACAAGUUGGUAGCCACUUUCCGUCGCAAAGGCAUCUGUCCUACUCAGUUGCAGCUCAAGCAAAGUCUUGUUCCGCAUGCCUUCUUUCCAUCACUAGAGGGCUAUGUUGUGAACGACUGGCCUUUCAUCUGA